Molecule: ribosomal RNA, 422 nt
Filed under: uncultured bacterium
Lineage: Bacteria
Description: bacterial SSU rRNA
Rfam family: Bacterial small subunit ribosomal RNA
Source: RNAcentral
GGAAUAUUGGGCAAUGGGCGCAAGCCUGACCCAGCGACGCCGUGUGGAGGAUGAAGGCUUUCGGGUUGUAAACUCCUAUCACAUGUUAGGAAGGUAUUAUGUGCUAAUAUCAUGUAGUAUCAGACAAAGGCAUGAGAUGAAGUCAUGGCUAACUCUGUGCCAGCAGCCGCGGUAAUACAGAGAUGGCAACCGUUGUUCGGAAUCACUGGGCUUAAAGAGCACGUAGGCGGGAAAGUAAGUUAGAUGUGAAAGCCCAUGGCUUACCUAUGGAACUGCAUCUAAUACUGUUUUUCUUGAGUGCGGAAGGGGAAAGUGGAACUCCUGGUGGAGCGGUGAAAUGCGUUGAUAUUAGGAGGAACGCCGGAGGCGAAAGCGACUUUCUGGUCCGCAACUGACGCUGAGGUGCGAAAGCUAGGGGAGCA